Molecule: unclassified non-coding RNA, 275 nt
Filed under: uncultured Sporisorium
Lineage: Eukaryota; Fungi; Basidiomycota; Ustilaginomycetes; Ustilaginales; Ustilaginaceae
Description: sequence contains ITS2
Source: RNAcentral
AUUGUUUCGAACCACUCUUUUUUAAUUAAGAAGGGUUGGAUCGGUACUGAGGGUAUUUGCCAUUAACCGUGGCUCCCUCGAAAUACAUUAGCGCAUCCAUUUGAUAGGCAAGAACGGACGAAAGCUCACCUUUCGCUCUCUCUUCCCUGCCGGGUUUUGAUAAUAUCAGGACUUCGGAGGCGGAGAAAGGGCAAGAGCUGGACGCAACGAUCUUGCUGUUUGGCGUGCUUCUGAACCCCGCCCAUGCUUCUUCGGAAGACGGGAUUUUAAUAAUU